Molecule: ribosomal RNA, 552 nt
Filed under: uncultured bacterium
Lineage: Bacteria
Description: bacterial SSU rRNA
Rfam family: Bacterial small subunit ribosomal RNA
Source: RNAcentral
UCCUACGGGAGGCAGCAGUGGGGAAUUUUCCGCAAUGGGCGAAAGCCUGACGGAGCAAUACCGCGUGAGGGAAGACGGCCUAUGGGUUGUAAACCUCUUUUUUCAGGGAGGAAUUUUGACGUGUACCUGAAGAAUAAGCAUCGGCUAACUCCGUGCCAGCAGCCGCGGUAAGACGGAGGAUGCAAGUGUUAUCCGGAAUCACUGGGCGUAAAGCGUCUGUAGGUGGUUGAACAAGUCAACUGUUAAAUCUUGAGGCUCAACUUCAAAAUCGCAGUCGAAACUGUUUGACUAGAGUAUAGUAGGGGUAAAGGGAAUUUCCAGUGGAGCGGUGAAAUGCGUAGAUAUUGGAAAGAACACCGAUGGCGAAGGCACUUUACUGGGCUAUUACUGACACUCAGAGACGAAAGCUAGGGUAGCAAAUGGGAUUAGAUACCCCAGUAGUCCUAGCCGUAAACAAUGGAUACUAGAUGUUGAACAGAUCGACCUGUGCAGUAUCAAAGCUAACGCGUUAAGUAUCCCGCCUGGGAAGUAUGCUUGCAAGAGUGAAACUCA